GUGCCCGCUUCAGCAGCACAUACAUUAAACUUGGAACCAUACAGACAAGAUUAGCAUGGCCCCUAUGCAAGGAUGACACACAAAUCUGUGAAGUGAAAUCCUGGGUC
Heterocephalus glaber (naked mole-rat) is the source of this 107-nucleotide small nuclear RNA. NCBI's taxonomy places the organism in Eukaryota, Metazoa, Chordata, Mammalia, Rodentia, Bathyergidae. The record is from Ensembl.